This 497-nucleotide ribosomal RNA is filed under the name uncultured bacterium. Its description in RNAcentral is "partial 16S ribosomal RNA". It matches the Rfam family "Bacterial small subunit ribosomal RNA", at positions 28 to 507 of the family's 1533-position model. The record is from RNAcentral.
GAUGAACGCUGGCGGCGUGCUUAAUACAUGCAAGUCGAGCGAACAGACGAGGAGCUUGCUCCUCUGACGUUAGCGGCGGACGGGUGAGUAUCACGUGGAUAACCUACCUAUAAGACUGGGAUAACUUCGGGAAACCGGAGCUAAUACCGGAUAAUAUAUUGAACCGCAUGGUUCAAUAGUGAAAGACGGUUUUGCUGUCACUUAUAGAUGGAUCCGCGCCGCAUUAGCUAGUUGGUAAGGUAACGGCUUACCAAGGCAACGAUGCGUAGCCGACCUGAGAGGGUGAUCGGCCACACUGGAACUGAGACACGGUCCAGACUCCUACGGGAGGCAGCAGUAGGGAAUCUUCCGCAAUGGGCGAAAGCCUGACGGAGCAACGCCGCGUGAGUGAUGAAGGUCUUCGGAUCGUAAAACUCUGUUAUUAGGGAAGAACAAAUGUGUAAGUAACUAUGCACGUCUUGACGGUACCUAAUCAGAAAGCCACGGCUAACUACGUG